Molecule: ribosomal RNA, 790 nt
Filed under: uncultured archaeon
Lineage: Archaea
Description: bacterial SSU rRNA
Rfam family: Archaeal small subunit ribosomal RNA
Source: RNAcentral
ACGGCUCAGUAACACGUGGACAACCUACCCUCAGCACGGGGAUAAACCCGGGAAACUGGGUAUAAUACCCGAUAGUUCUGGGAAGCUGGAAUGCUCCCAUGACGAAAGCUCCGGCGACUGAGGAUGGGUCUGCGGCCUAUCAGGUAGUAGUGGGUGUAAUGUACCUACUAGCCUACGACGGGUACGGGUCGUGAGAGCGAGAGCCCGGAGAUGGAUUCUGAGACACGAAUCCAGGCCCUACGGGGUGCAGCAGGCGCGAAAACUUUACAAUGCUGGCAACAGCGAUAAGGGGACCUCGAGUGCCAGGAUACAAUCUUGGCUGUCGCGAUGCCUAAAAAGCAUUGCAUAGCAAGGGCCGGGCAAGACCGGUGCCAGCCGCCGCGGUAACACCGGCGGCUCGAGUGGUAACCGCUAUUAUUGGGUCUAAAGGGUCUGUAGCCGGCCGGAUAAGUCUCUUGGGAAAUCCAGCUGCUCAACAGUUGGGCUUUCAGGAGAUACUGUUCGGCUCGAGGCCGGGAGAGGUGAGAGGUACUUCAGGGGUAGGGGUGAAAUCUUGUAAUCCUUGAAGGACCACCAGUGGCGAAGGCGUCUCACCAGAACGGACCUGACGGCAAGGGACGAAAGCUAGGGGCACGAACCGGAUUAGAUACCCGGGUAGUCCUAGCCGUAAACGAUACUCGCUAGGUGUCAGCCACGGUGCGACCGUGGUUGGUGCCGUAGGGAAGCCGUGAAGCGAGCCACCUGGGAAGUACGGCCGCAAGGCUGAAACUUAAAGGAAUUGGCGGGGGAG